This 253-nucleotide ribosomal RNA is filed under the name uncultured bacterium. RNAcentral's name for it is "partial 16S ribosomal RNA". It matches the Rfam family "Bacterial small subunit ribosomal RNA", at positions 524 to 776 of the family's 1533-position model. The record is from RNAcentral.
UACAGAGGGUGCGAGCGUUAAUCGGAAUUACUGGGCGUAAAGCGUGCGUAGACGGUUAUUUAAGUCAGAUGUGAAAGCCCCGGGCUCAACCUGGGAAUUGCAUUUGAGACUGAAUAGCUAGGGUGCGGUAGAGGGAAGCGGAAUUUCCGGUGUAGCGGUGAAAUGCGUAGAUAUCGGAAGGAACAUCAGUGGCGAAAGCGGCUUCCUGGACCAGCACCGACGUUCAGGCACGAAAGCGUGGGGAGCAAACAGG